Molecule: transfer RNA, 62 nt
Filed under: Strongylocentrotus purpuratus (purple sea urchin)
Lineage: Eukaryota; Metazoa; Echinodermata; Echinoidea; Camarodonta; Strongylocentrotidae
Rfam family: tRNA
About the family: Transfer RNA (tRNA) molecules are approximately 80 nucleotides in length. Their secondary structure includes four short double-helical elements and three loops (D, anti-codon, and T loops). Further hydrogen bonds mediate the characteristic L-shaped molecular structure. tRNAs have two regions of fundamental functional importance: the anti-codon, which is responsible for specific mRNA codon recognition, and the 3' end, to which the tRNAs corresponding amino acid is attached (by aminoacyl-tRNA synthetases). tRNAs cope with the degeneracy of the genetic code in two manners: having more than one tRNA (with a specific anti-codon) for a particular amino acid; and 'wobble' base-pairing, i.e. permitting non-standard base-pairing at the 3rd anti-codon position.
Source: Rfam by way of RNAcentral
GGCACGAUAGCUCAGUUGGUAGAGCAGUGGUCUUAUAAUCCGGUGACCAGGGGCUCGUUCCU